AUGAAGCUUGCAGGAGUACAUGUACGGAUUGAUUGGAGGCUGGAAGAGCAGACAAAUGUGUUUGGGAAGUGUUCUAAUUUAAAAUAUGGCUGCCUGACCUGGAAGAGAAAGCAAAGAGACAAUUCAUCCUUCAAAAACAUGACCUGGGUGUCCGAGGUGCCAACAAAGUUUGGUGCGCAAACAACUGUGUAUAAAUAUAUUUUCAAUAUACAGUCAUGUGUUGCUGUACAUUAUACCUGAAUUUCACAUGGCUUCUCUACUGAAGCUAGACUAAAGCAGAAAUCAGCAUGUGAUCAGUGCAUGGGAUCAGUUGUCCAAAUGUUUUUUUUAAUAAGAUUAAAAUGUAUAAUAUAUAUAUAAAUUUUUUUAAAAUAACAAAAAAUAUAUUAUUAUUAUUGUUAUUAUUGUAACACAUAAAAUACUACAAAUAAAAAGUCAUUAUUAAUUAACACUUUUCAUUUUUAUCUAACUGUUUAAUUACUUUUUUUAAUUAGUUUAAAAUAUUAUUUAGUACUACUAAUAGUAAUUACAACAAUAUAUUAUUAAACAUUGGCAUCCUCAUCAGUCUCUUUAAUAACUGUUUUCAAUGCAUCUUCAAAUAAAUUAUUAUUAUUAACUGUUAAAUAAUAUAAUUUGUUUAAUAACUGCUUUAGCAAAAGUUACUAAUAUACAAAUACAUGGUUGUAUAUUAUUAUUAUUUAAUAAGAACAUUUUUUUUAAAACUGGCAUUUUUAUCAGACUGUUUUACAAUUGUUUUAAAACAAGUUUCAAAUAAAUUAUUAUCAUUAAAAUUUACAUUUUGUCAUCAUUUACUUACCCUCAUGUCAUUCCAAACAUGUAUGAAUUCCUUUCCUUUCAUUCCUGUAACCUGUAGAUUCUGGUCCAUUCAAUAAAAAAAUUAUUUUGUUUUGCACAGAAAUAUAAAAUUCAACUGGUGUGUGUUUACAGGUGGACUCAUAUACUGGCUCAUCCAAAUCAAAUUAUAAAGCCAGAGCUUUUUGUUGUAUAAUAUCCUCUACAGUACUGCCACCAUUAUACUGUGUCUAGACAGUUAGUGUUAGUGCUAGUUAGUUAGUGCUGUUCUGCUGAUCACAGGAAGUAUGAAUCCAGCUGCUGCCUACUAUUAUCCACUGCAAAUGCAGAAGAGCGGGAAACACAUCCACACUUUGGCAGUCUCAAAGGUGCCAAAGGAUCUCUUUCACUGAGUUUCAAGAGAAAUAGUAUGUCUCUCAGUCAUCCAUUAAGUUCUUUGUCUGCAUUCUCUGUUAAAAAAAGGUUUUAUUGCCAUCUUGGGAGUAUGUAUGCUUCUGGGCCCAUCCAUUCAUGUCAAAUUAAUCUAUAACACCAUUUCCACAUCUACAUAAUCUCCCAAAAAUCUCACAGGUAUACACACUUAAAACUGAAGUUUACUUGCAGCAUCUUGAAUUAUUAUUAACCAUUUUUAAAGAUGAUGUUUAAGAUAAUGUUUCAUUAUUGAGUCUACCUGGAACUUGUAUUUUUAAAAGUAUAUACUAAGGGUGUUUGAAUUGACACUAGGGAUAUUAUUAAAACCAUAAAAAAAUCAUUAUAGGAAAUUAAAUAAACAUUAACUGAAAUAAAAUAAAUUAUAAAAUACAAAAAUACACUUUUUUGGGGGUUGCCAAGGCCAUUUCUCCAUUUCUCAUUUUUGUUUAGUUUAAAGUCUCUUGGAAAUGUGUCAGUUCUGACGAGAACGAUGCAUUGCUAUUGAUCAGUCUUACAGUGGACACGUAAAUGACUGCAGAGACCAAACUCUGAGGCGCAGAUGAUUCCUCUGCUGCCUGGGUCAUGGCCGCUUCCCAGGCAUCAAGACUGGUCUUACAGG
Molecule: long non-coding RNA, 1843 nt
Organism: Cyprinus carpio carpio
Lineage: Eukaryota; Metazoa; Chordata; Actinopteri; Cypriniformes; Cyprinidae
Source: Ensembl